Sapajus apella (tufted capuchin) is the source of this 1406-nucleotide long non-coding RNA. RefSeq lists it as uncharacterized. NCBI's taxonomy places the organism in Eukaryota, Metazoa, Chordata, Mammalia, Primates, Cebidae. The transcript has 3 exons. The record is from RefSeq and is a predicted model, not a curated record.
UGUUGGGGGGGGGGGCGGUCUCUUCAUUCAGAGCGCGUUUUAAUAUUUGGUGCAGAAAACCCGGACAAGGGUACUCGUUUGGGGAGACCAGCCCCCUGUCCCCUCUUCCCCCUCUGGGAAGAGACCCACCUGAGACCUCAACACAUCAGACCAGCUCAGCAGCUCCCGCUUAGCGUGAGGAACAGCCACCUUCAGAUUGGCUAUCUCCUUCUAGUAGAGACAAAGGAGACACUCUAUCCGUGUGGAGCCAGAGGAGACAAGUCUCUCCCUCUAGCUCACAAACUCUGACGUGGUCAUGGACUCUGGAAGACAGUCUUCCCUUGGGGUCUGGUCAAUCGCAGGGACGCCUGCCUUGAUCACUUCCACAUUACAGUCCAAGAAUCAGUCAGGGAUGCCUACUGCAAACCCUGGUAGCUGCUCGCCCCUUCUCCUAGUCUCUACUCUUUUCCUUAAAACUUAUCUCCUUCACUAGGGGCAGUAUUCCGCCCUCUAUUCCUCAGCCUUCGCCUCUAGCCUGUGUCCUAAAAAACCUAAAACCUCUUCAACUGUCGCCCGAUCUGAAACCUAAAAGUCUCAUUUUUUCUGUAAUACAGCCUGCCCUCAAUACAAAUUAGACAAUGGUUCCGAAUGGCCAGAAAACUGUUCACUGGGCCAGGGCGAGCCCACAGCCUGGGGCUCCAUCCUGCUUCAAAUGCCACAAGCUUGGACAUUGGGCUAACGAAUGCUCACAGCCCAAGGCUCCUUCCAAGCCGUGUCCUGUCCUUGGGGGACCCCACUGGAAAUCGGACUGUAUGGCUCAUAUUAUAGCCACUCCCAAGGCUCCUGGAGUUCAAAUCCAAUAUUCUCCAGCUGACUCCUUUCCAGAACUUCUCAGCUUAGCAACUGAAGAUUGACGCUACCGGACUGCUUCGGAAGCCCCCUGGACCAUCACAGACUGAGCUUCAGGUUUCUGAGCUGCCCCCAAGCCCACUCAAAGAAGCCCUGAGAAACAUUGCCCCAUCACCCCUCUGGGCUGGCCUUCCUAAUAUUCCUCUGCCCUCACUCUUCAUUUCUUUUUCCUUUAUAGUACAAAUAUAAAAAGACAGGAAUGUAAGGUCUUUUAGGCUGACUGACGGUGUCAUAUGGUGACCCCCGGAAGACCAUGAAAAGAGGAAGAUGAUCAAUCCCUGCAGCGCCUAACUAACUUGAGACAUUCUUCUAUUGUUUCUUGUUCCAGCCCCAAUUGAUAAGACCAUUGGACUUUGUAACUGACCUUCGUCAACCUCAUGACUCCAGACCCUGCAACCCCCUCCCAGCUUGCAAAAAACUACCCUAAACUGUAACUGUUGCUCACACAAAACUUGUUUGGGGAGUCUCUUCAUUCAGAGCGCGAGUUUUAACAGGCUGUGUGUUAUUACCCACAGCUG